CCUACGGGAGGCAGCAGUGGGGAAUUUUGGACAAUGGGCGCAAGCCUGAUCCAGCCAUGCCGCGUGUGGGAAGAAGGCCUUCGGGUUGUAAACCACUUUUGUCAGGGAAGAAACGGCCUUUACUAAUAUUAGGGGCUAAUGACGGUACCUGAAGAAUAAGCACCGGCUAACUACGUGCCAGCAGCCGCGGUAAUACGUAGGGUGCAAGCGUUAAUCGGAAUUACUGGGCGUAAAGCGUGCGCAGGCGGCUUUGCAAGACAGAUGUGAAAUCCCCGGGCUCAACCUGGGAACUGCAUUUGUGACUGCAUGGCUAGAGUACGGUAGAGGGGGAUGGAAUUCCGCGUGUAGCAGUGAAAUGCGUAGAUAUGCGGAGGAACACCGAUGGCGAAGGCAAUCCCCUGGACCUGUACUGACGCUCAUGCACGAAAGCGUGGGGAGCAAACAGGAUUAGAUACCCUGGUAGUCCACGCCCUAAACGAUGUCAACUGGUUGUUGGACGGCUUGCUGUUCAGUAACGAAGCUAACGCGUGAAGUUGACCGCCUGGGGAGUACGGCCGCAAGGUUGAAACUCAAAGGAUUGACGG
This 584-nucleotide ribosomal RNA is filed under the name uncultured bacterium. RNAcentral describes it as "bacterial SSU rRNA". It matches the Rfam family "Bacterial small subunit ribosomal RNA", at positions 338 to 916 of the family's 1533-position model. The record is from RNAcentral.